GGAGGUAUAUAGCUCAGUGGUAGAGCACAUGCUUAGCAUGCAUGAGGUCCUGGGUUCGAUCCCCAGUACCUCCA
RNAcentral lists this transfer RNA (74 nucleotides) under Vicugna pacos (alpaca). RNAcentral's name for it is "tRNA-Ala (AGC) (tRNA-Ala-AGC-565-1)". It matches the Rfam family "tRNA". Rfam says of the family: Transfer RNA (tRNA) molecules are approximately 80 nucleotides in length. Their secondary structure includes four short double-helical elements and three loops (D, anti-codon, and T loops). The record is from RNAcentral. Lineage: Eukaryota; Metazoa; Chordata; Mammalia; Artiodactyla; Camelidae.